Molecule: long non-coding RNA, 359 nt
Organism: Nothoprocta perdicaria
Lineage: Eukaryota; Metazoa; Chordata; Aves; Tinamiformes; Tinamidae
Exons: 3
Source: RefSeq, a predicted model, not a curated record
UGUGGAAUUGUGGCAAUGACCUUUUUUCUUUGCACAAGAGUCAUAAUACCAGCUUACCUACCUUAGCUGCAGUUAACAGCAUGACGGAGGUGAGCAUCUGCACAGGGAAGUUACUGCAUGAAUCAUCCACCCUGUAGAAAUCCUGUCCACCCUGCAAAAAUGUUAUCAGAGGUUGUCUUGCCACAGCCAUGUGAUGAAAACAACAUAUUCAUCCUACUACUAAGGCACAAGGAUGGAGAAAAACUGCAAAGCUGAAAUAAGGGCGUGCAUCUGGAAACAGUCCGCUGAAGUUCUGCACACUCUUAACUGCAUCACUGAUUAUUAUAGAGCAAUUAGCACUCUUGAGUAACUGUUCUUCA